Molecule: transfer RNA, 73 nt
Filed under: Myxococcales bacterium
Lineage: Bacteria; Pseudomonadati; Myxococcota; Myxococcia; Myxococcales
Description: tRNA-Gly
Rfam family: tRNA
About the family: Transfer RNA (tRNA) molecules are approximately 80 nucleotides in length. Their secondary structure includes four short double-helical elements and three loops (D, anti-codon, and T loops).
Source: RNAcentral
GUGCGUAUAGCUCAUCCGGCAGAGCGCGAUCCUCCCACGAUCGAGGCCGCGGGUUCGACUCCCGCUACGCACU